AACGCUAGCUACAGGCUUAACACAUGCAAGUCGAGGGGCAGCAUGAACUUAGCUUGCUAAGUUUGAUGGCGACCGGCGCACGGGUGAGUAACACGUAUCCAACCUGCCGAUGACUCGGGGAUAGCCUUUCGAAAGAAAGAUUAAUACCCGAUGGCAUAGUUCUUCCGCAUGGUGGAACUAUUAAAGAAUUUCGGUCAUCGAUGGGGAUGCGUUCCAUUAGGUUGUUGGCGGGGUAACGGCCCACCAAGCCUUCGAUGGAUAGGGGUUCUGAGAGGAAGGUCCCCCACAUUGGAACUGAGACACGGUCCAAACUCCUACGGGAGGCAGCAGUGAGGAAUAUUGGUCAAUGGACGAGAGUCUGAACCAGCCAAGUAGCGUGAAGGAUGACUGCCCUAUGGGUUGUAAACUUCUUUUAUACGGGAAUAAAGUGAGGCACGUGUGCCUUUUUGUAUGUACCGUAUGAAUAAGGAUCGGCUAACUCCGUGCCAGCAGCCGCGGUAAUACGGAGGAUCCGAGCGUUAUCCGGACUUAUUGGGUUUAAAGGGAGCGUAGGCCGUCUGUUAAGCGUGUUGUGAAAUGUAGAUGCUCAACAUCUGAAUUGCAGCGCGAACUGGCAGACUUGAGUGUGCGCAACGUAGGCGGAAUUCGUGGUGUAGCGGUGAAAUGCUUAGAUAUCACGAAGAACUCCGAUUG
RNAcentral lists this ribosomal RNA (693 nucleotides) under uncultured bacterium. RNAcentral's name for it is "bacterial SSU rRNA". It matches the Rfam family "Bacterial small subunit ribosomal RNA", at positions 32 to 715 of the family's 1533-position model. The record is from RNAcentral.